AACAAGUUUGGAACAAGCUGUCAACAACUUGUAACAAGCUUGCUGGGAUUAACAGACUUGUUACAAGGUUGUUCUAACAAGUCUGAUACAGUCAUGAUAUAACAAGAAUGUUACAAGGUUGACCACACAAGAUUGUAACAAUACUGAUAUAUCAUGACUGUAUCUGACUUUGUUGGAACAAACUUGUAACAAGUCUGAUAAUAUCAACAACGUUGUUACAAAUUGUUAACAGAUUGUUCCAGACUUGUU
Non-coding RNA from Paramuricea clavata, 249 nucleotides. The record is from the annotation of a GenBank genome assembly. NCBI's taxonomy places the organism in Eukaryota, Metazoa, Cnidaria, Anthozoa, Malacalcyonacea, Plexauridae.